Maniola jurtina (meadow brown) is the source of this 205-nucleotide long non-coding RNA. RefSeq lists it as uncharacterized. Lineage: Eukaryota; Metazoa; Arthropoda; Insecta; Lepidoptera; Nymphalidae. The transcript is spliced from 3 exons. The record is from RefSeq and is a predicted model, not a curated record.
UCAGUACCAUUGAUUUUAAUUUCGCAACGUUUCCGCUUGGAGCGCUGGCUAUAAAUAUAUGUACAAACUUGAGCAUUAAAACAAGGCCGUCAAAUGCCAUUUUACUUUGCUAAAGUGUUUCGACUUUCAAAUACUAUCAACGUUGGUGAGAAGUAAAAUCUUAUACUGAGGGUACAGAAUGAUCCCCUAAAGAAGCCCCUAUUUU